CAGUAGCCGCGGUAAUACGGAGGGUGCAAGCGUUAAUCGGAAUUACUGGGCGUAAAGCGCACGCAGGCGGUCUGUCAAGUCAGAUGUGAAAUCCCCGGGCUUAACCUGGGAACUGCAUUUGAAACUGGCAGGCUAGAGUCUUGUAGAGGGGGGUAGAAUUCCAGGUGUAGCGGUGAAAUGCGUAGAGAUCUGGAGGAAUACCGGUGGCGAAGGCGGCCCCCUGGACAAAGACUGACGCUCAGGUGCGAAAGCGUGGGGAGCAAACAGGACUAGAUACCCCAGUAGUCCCUGUCUCUUAUAC
Molecule: ribosomal RNA, 301 nt
Filed under: uncultured bacterium
Lineage: Bacteria
Description: partial 16S ribosomal RNA
Rfam family: Bacterial small subunit ribosomal RNA
Source: RNAcentral